Dicentrarchus labrax (European seabass) is the source of this 716-nucleotide long non-coding RNA. RefSeq lists it as uncharacterized. The transcript is spliced from 6 exons. The record is from RefSeq and is a predicted model, not a curated record. Lineage: Eukaryota; Metazoa; Chordata; Actinopteri; Moronidae.
GGUCAGAGGAGGAAGGUCUGAAGAGGAGGGUCAGAGGAGGAAGGUCUGAAGAGGAAGGUCAGAGGAGGAAGGUCUGAAGAGGAAGGUCAGAGGAGGAAGGUCAGAGGAGGAAGGUCAGAGGAGGAAGGUCUGAAGAGGAAGGUCAGAGGAGGAAGGUCAGAGGAGGAAGGUCUGAAGAGGAAGGUCAGAGGAGGAAGGUCUGAAGAGGAAGGUCAGAGGAGGAAGGUCUGAAGAGGAAGGUCAGAGGAGGAAGGUCUGAGGAGGAAGGUCAGAGGAGGAAGGUCUGAAGAGGAAGGUCAGAGGAGGAAGGUCUGAAGAGGAGGGUCAGAGGAGGAAGGUCAGAGGAGGAAGGUCUGAAGAGGAAGGUCAGAGGAGGAAGGUCUGAAGAGGAAGGUCUGAAGAGGAAGGUCAGAGGAGGAAGGUCUGAAGAGGAAGGUCUGAAGAGGAAGGUCAGAGGAGGAAGGUCUGAAGAGGAGGGUCAGAGGAGGAAGGUCUGAAGAGGAAGGUCAGAGGAGGAAGGUCAGAGGAGGAAGGUCUGAAGAGGAAGGUCUGAAGAGGAAGGUCUGAAGAGGAAGGUCAGAGGAGGAAGGUCUGAAGAGGAAGGUCUGAAGAGGAAGGUCUGAAGAGGAAGGUCAGAGGAGGAAGGUCUGAAGAGGAAGGUCAGAGGAGGAAGGUCAGAGGAGGAAGGUCUGAAGAGGAAGGUCAGAGGAGGAAGG